CCGACUCCUACGGGAGCAGCAGUGGGGAAUAUUGCGCAAUGGGGGCAACCCUGACGCACCUGCCGCGUGAAUGAAGAAGGCCUUCGGGUUGUAAAGUUCUUUCGGUAGCGAGGAAGGCAUUUAGUUUAAUAGACUAAGUGAUUGACGUUAACUACAGAAGAAGCACCGGCUAACUCCGUGCCAGCAGCCGCGGUAAUACGGAGGGUGCGAGCGUUAAUCGGAAUAACUGGGCGUAAAGGGCACGCAGGCGGUGACUUAAGUGAGGUGUGAAAGCCCCGGGCUUAACCUGGGAAUUGCAUUUCAUACUGGGUCGCUAGAGUACUUUAGGGAGGGGUAGAAUUCCACGUGUAGCGGUGAAAUGCGUAAAGAUGUGGAGGAAUACCGAAGGCGAAGGCAGCCCCUUGGAAAUGUACUGACGCUCAUGUGCGAAAGCGUGGGGAGCAAACAGGAUUAAAUACCCUGGUAGUCCACGCUGUAAACGAUGUCGAUUUGGGGGUUGAGCUUUAAGCUUGGCGCCCGUAGCUAACGUGAUAAAUCGACCGCCUGGGGAGUACGG
Molecule: ribosomal RNA, 556 nt
Filed under: uncultured bacterium
Lineage: Bacteria
Description: bacterial SSU rRNA
Rfam family: Bacterial small subunit ribosomal RNA
Source: RNAcentral